This is a non-coding RNA of Nicotiana tabacum (common tobacco), 593 nucleotides long. The record is from RefSeq and is a predicted model, not a curated record. Lineage: Eukaryota; Viridiplantae; Streptophyta; Magnoliopsida; Solanales; Solanaceae.
AUUGAAAGGACAGACUUAGUUUCUUGGAAAGCAUCAGCUGAUCACUUUCCAAGACUUAAGCAUCUUGUUCUCAUCUGCUGCGAUAAGCUUAAGGAAAUCCCCAUUGGCCUGGCUGAUAUACGCAGCUUCCAAGUGAUGGAGUUGCAAAACUCCACCAAAACAGCAGCAAUAUCUGCACGGGAAAUACGAGACAAAAAAGACAAGCAAACUCAAGAAGGGACUAACAACAAUGGGUUCAAGCUCUCUAUAUUCCCUCCCGAUCUCUGAUUGCAACUGGAUGUGCAGCUUCCUUGAGAGGUCUUCAAUGAAUCAAACUGUAUGAUGCUGGUACUGUACCAUGGAUAAGAAACUUCUACUAGGUGUUAUAAUAAUUCUUGAAUCGUUGUCUGUCACCAACUUAUUUGGGACUGAGGCGUCAUUGUUGUUGUUGUUCAGUCGUUGUCUGUCUUUCUUGCCUUUCAUGUGUUGUCUUCUUGAUUGUGGUCAUAGCUUUGAGCUGAAUAAUUGUAUGUUUUCCAUUUGUGGUAUGUUAUAAUCCAUAAGAACAGUGUACUUUGCGCUUGCAAUAACAAUUGAUUGAUUGUGUGGUCGGA